Long non-coding RNA from Cygnus olor (mute swan), 1687 nucleotides. RefSeq lists it as uncharacterized. The transcript has 3 exons. Lineage: Eukaryota; Metazoa; Chordata; Aves; Anseriformes; Anatidae. The record is from RefSeq and is a predicted model, not a curated record.
AGGUACUCCUCGACUCAGGUGCAAUGAAGUUGCAGCUGCUUUGUGUCCCAGAUCCUUGCUGGGACUGCAGCGUAACUGAAUAGUUGCUCUGUCAUGUCCUGGCAGUGACUGUAAAGUAAAAAGGCUCUGGCAGACGAUGAGUCCCUGAUUGCCCCAGUUUUCUCAGUCUCAAAUAGGUUAUUGUCCUUCUUUCCUCUCUGGUGCUAACAAGCUUCUUCUGUAAAAACCCUUCCCCCUCUGAUGCUGGGACACUGAUUCUAGAGCUUGCAAGACCACCAAAAAUGAGGUCUCCUGCUGAAUCACAGUCUUUUAUAAACAGAAAAAGGAAAGGAGCAGGGCAAACAGAGAGUGGGAGGACUAGGAACUGGGUGAAGUACUCUGGGAACACCCGUUGGCCCACGGUGAUACAAAGGGCUGAUGGUUGCUGUGGGCUCCAGCAGUAAGGACAAUAUUUGUGUCAUUCCUGUAGUACAAUGGGUAUGAAUCUGGAGCUGCCAUGCACUGGAGUCCCUCAGAGAACGCAAACUCCACUGAUCUUGGUACUGACUAAUCCCCCACACAGUACAGGCUGUCUCCUUCAGUAGCAAGUCAUGGUCAUCAUGGCAACCACAAGCAGAGCUGCUUGUGAGCAAAUGGCAGCAAAUGGCUGCUUAAGGUAGCAGUCUCUGUGUGACUUUUCAAGCCCCUCUUCCAUCCACAGGACUUCUUUUGUCCAUGAUACAGAAUUACUAAUUCCUCCAGUACCAGGAGAGGCUGGUGGGGAGAGGGGGAUGCUCCACCUGAACAACCUGCAGAAAGGGACCAACAGAAACUCCCUUUUGAUGAAAUACCACUCUCACUUGAACAGGGAAUGCUGUGCCCAUGGAAGAGGGAAGGACAGACUGCAAACCAGCAAAGGAUCCGCUGUGCCAGUCCAGCCACUGACUGCCAAACCUUUGUACUGUCUUAGGGAGUUGCUCUCCUGAAGGAAGUUUAUCUGCUUGUAAUGGAAAAGGGCAGUGCGUAGCCUGAAGGUGUGCUGGAUUGAUGUUUGGUAAUAUUAUACAGGAGUAGCUGCAAGGGGGCACAUCCCCCUGCCAGACCAGAGGAGAACUGAGCAACAGGCUCUAUUUGCUGGUAAACUGAAGAUACCACAAUGACCACAGGAAGAGGGAGAUCCUCAGAGAAAGGAUGGGGAAGAUCUGAAGGAACCUGCAGACCAUUCUGAUUCCUGUCCAGCAAGUCACUAGCCUAAGAAGCAUCUGCUUUCUAGGCAACUGACAGGUAAGAGGAAAUAACUUGUACUAUGGCCCUGGGACAAAUGCCAAUUUGCCUGUGAGACAGGAGGUUAAAGGCUGUUUAUAUGAUUAACAUUCAGUUAAGGCACUUCUUGUUCACAUGACAGUCUAAGGAGUGCCAGGCCUGACUUGAGCACCAGUAUGGCAUCUCCAGAAGGAAAGAGGUGAAAUGUCUUAUUUGAAACAUAACCAUAAUUUUGCAUAUAUAUAUAUUUUUAAACUUUUUGAUUUGUAUUCUUAUAUGUUCUCUAUUAAAGCACUCUAGACAGUCUAAAUGAGCCUGUGUUCUCCCCCCACCUCCUUCUCUUUUUCCCCCAUCCCUCACCUCUUCUUUGAGAUCUCUUUGAGAUCUGUACAAGAAAAAGAUGCAGGUAGCAUUCCCCUCAAAGCCAUACUGGGCUCUACAGAGC